GUGCCAGCAGCCGCGGUAAUACGUAGGGGGCAAGCGUUGUUCGGAAUUACUGGGCGUAAAGCGUGCGUAGGCGGUUUCUUAAGUCCGUUGUGAAAGCCCUGGGCUCAACCUGGGAACUGCGAUGGAUACUGAGGAGCUGGAGUACGGUAGAGGAAGGUGGAAUUCCCGGUGUAGCGGUGAAAUGCGUAGAGAUCGGGAGGAACAUCAGUGGCGAAGGCGGCCUUCUGGACCAGUACUGACGCUGAGGCACGAAAGCGUGGGGAGCAAACAGGAUUAGAUACCCUGGCAGUCCACGCCCUAAACGAUGCGGACUGGACGUUGGGCACAACUUGGUGCUCAGUGUCGAAGCUAACGCGUUAAGUCCGCCGCCUGGGGAGUACGCUCGCAAGAGUGAAACUCAAAGGAAUUGACGG
Molecule: ribosomal RNA, 413 nt
Filed under: uncultured bacterium
Lineage: Bacteria
Description: bacterial SSU rRNA
Rfam family: Bacterial small subunit ribosomal RNA
Source: RNAcentral